AUGCACGCUGGCGGCGUGCCUAACACAUGCAAGUCGCACGGAGUCCAGCCUUAGAGACCUUCGGGUCAAAGAGGGGAAGACUGAGUGGCGGACGGGUGAGUAACACGUGGGCAACCUGGCUCAUAGAGGGGGAUAACAGAGAGAAAUUUCUGCUAAUACCGCAUAAGCACACACUGCCGCAUGGCAGAGUGUGAAAAGAGAAUCGCUAUGAGAUGGACCCGCGUCUGAUUAGCCAGUUGGCAGGGUAAGAGCCUACCAAAGCGACGAUCAGUAGCCGAUUUGAGAGGAUGAACGGCCACAUUGGGACUGAGACACGGCCCAAACUCCUACGGGAGGCAGCAGUGGGGGAUAUUGCACAAUGGGGGGAACCCUGAUGCAGCGACGCCGCGUGAGUGAAGAAGUAUUUCGGUAUGUAAAGCUCUAUCAGCAGGGAAGAUAAUGACAGUACCUGAAGAAGAAGCCCCGGCUAACUACGUG
Molecule: ribosomal RNA, 477 nt
Filed under: uncultured bacterium
Lineage: Bacteria
Description: partial 16S ribosomal RNA
Rfam family: Bacterial small subunit ribosomal RNA
Source: RNAcentral